CAGUCGCCACGGGAAUACGUAGGGUGCAAGCGUUAAUCGGAAUUACUGGGCGUAAAGCGUGCGCAGGCGGUUAUAUAAGACAGAUGUGAAAUCCCCGGGCUCAACCUGGGAACUGCAUUUGUGACUGUAUAGCUAGAGUACGGCAGAGGGGGAUGGAAUUCCGCGUGUAGCAGUGAAAUGCGUAGAUAUGCGGAGGAACACCGAUGGCGAAGGCAAUCCCCUGGGCCUGUACUGACGCUCAUGCACGAAAGCGUGGGGAGCAAACAGGAUUAGAUACCCGAGUAGUCCCUGUCUCUUAUAA
This 301-nucleotide ribosomal RNA is filed under the name uncultured bacterium. RNAcentral describes it as "partial 16S ribosomal RNA". It matches the Rfam family "Bacterial small subunit ribosomal RNA", at positions 509 to 809 of the family's 1533-position model. The record is from RNAcentral.